CAAUAGCGUAUAUUAAAGUUGUUGCAGUUAAAAAGCUCGUAGUUGAAUUUCUGUCAGGAGCGACCGGGCCUUUGGAUGAACUUCCAUUGUUUUUGCUCUGUUUGUCGUCUCUAGACAUCCUAAAUUACAUUUCUUGUAAUUUUCUUUUACUGUUAGCAAAAUAGAGUGUUCCAAGCAAAGCGUAGUUUUGAAUACAUUAGGAUGGAAUAAUAAGAUAGGACUUUGGUGCUAUUUUGUUGGUUUGCACACCAAGGUAAUGAUUAAUAGGGACAGUUGGGGGUAUUCGUAUUUAAUUGUCAGAGGUGAAAUUCUUGGAUUUAUGAAAGACGAACUACUGCGAAAGCAUUUACCAAGGAUGUUUUCAUUA
This 367-nucleotide ribosomal RNA is filed under the name uncultured eukaryote. RNAcentral's name for it is "partial 18S ribosomal RNA". It matches the Rfam family "Eukaryotic small subunit ribosomal RNA", at positions 592 to 975 of the family's 1831-position model. The record is from RNAcentral.